RNAcentral lists this long non-coding RNA (211 nucleotides) under Nicotiana benthamiana. RNAcentral describes it as "long non-coding RNA (NBEN_LNC000500)". Lineage: Eukaryota; Viridiplantae; Streptophyta; Magnoliopsida; Solanales; Solanaceae. The record is from RNAcentral.
CUCCAAGAUAUCUGAAGGGAAGAUGCCCUUCAGUGAAUCCUAGAGCAGCAAUAAUCUCCUCUAUAGUUUCCUGUGGAACUCCAGCCAAAUAGAUUGCACUCUUACUUACAUUAGCCUGAAGUCCAGAAGCAGUUGAGAAUAUAAGAAAUGUGAUGUGCAAUAUCUGAAUAGAUACUAUGUCAGCCCUACAGAACAUUAACAAGUCAUCAGC